AAGUUAUAGGAGUCCAGAGCCAGACAGCAACAGGAGCUCAACACACACGCGGGGCAAAGGUCAGGGUCAGUCACGGCACAGCGACUCUGGAGCCAGCGAUGAAUCAGGAUUCUUCAUCGAGGGGAAGCUUCAGGGAAAUGUUCACCAAGAGUCUGGAGCUACGUGAAGGAGCUCCAGCGUCAGCAGCAACAUCACAGCUCGCAGCUCGCUCCAGAAGAUCCUGAAGACCUGUCCUACAGAGACAGAGCCGCCUCCUCCUCCUCCUCCUCCUCGCCCCCUCUGGACUCUCUUCCCUGCCUCAUUUACCAAAUAUAGUUCCUGCUUUGUCCAUGUGGUGGCAGGUGGAGGUGGGGAAACAUGUCAGGUCCACUGAUUCUCACGCAAGAAAAAAAAGAAAAGAAAAGGAAAAGGAGCAUUCCGGGGCUGAGAAGUGGCUGUG
Long non-coding RNA from Solea senegalensis (Senegalese sole), 439 nucleotides. RefSeq lists it as uncharacterized. NCBI's taxonomy places the organism in Eukaryota, Metazoa, Chordata, Actinopteri, Pleuronectiformes, Soleidae. The record is from RefSeq and is a predicted model, not a curated record. The transcript has 4 exons.